Long non-coding RNA from Penaeus monodon (black tiger shrimp), 319 nucleotides. RefSeq lists it as uncharacterized. The record is from RefSeq and is a predicted model, not a curated record. Lineage: Eukaryota; Metazoa; Arthropoda; Malacostraca; Decapoda; Penaeidae. The transcript has 4 exons.
UCGGAUCGAGGAAGAGUGGACUACAUGAAUCAAAGUUUGCCACAGUUGAAGAGUGGUGGGAUAGCAAAGGACUAGCUGUGGGUGACUAUGCUGGGUUAGCAUCAUUGAUAUUCACAGAGAUAUUUAGUUCUGAUUUCCUCACGCCCAUGGAGGAAACUGAUACUAGCUUUCAGAUGGAGGUCCAUGGGGUAAGCUUGGCGAGAUAUACAGAGAUGAUGCGCUGUAUGCCAGAUAGACCUGACCUUGAUGAGAAGUUGACUGUUCACACACCAAGAGGAAAUAUACAGGUUCAUGCUCCUUACCUAGAUUUAGCAGCUUU